UUUGGAAUUUGUACACCUCAUGAUCUGAAAGCACAAGGUUAUGCUAAGGAUCAAAUAAUACAAUGGCCAGAAAGGAGUCAUGUAAAGUACCACACAUGUGCAAGGUAUUAUAUUUAAGAAUCCUGGACCCUUUGUUCAAAUUCUCCCUUUGGUCAUCUGCCUACAGUAUCUUAUCCUUGAAACCGACUUUCAAGAGAAGCUGGAGAAGGGAAGAAUUAUUAGCACCAUUCUUCUGAUUAUACCUCACUUUUGCAUAUUUCUUGAGAAUUCCUAACAGUUUUGCAUUCACUAUUUUUUAUUGAAAUAAGAACUUUGGUAUUUAUCAACUACCUUUAUGCUUAUUUAAAACAUUUUAUCUAGUUGGGUUUUUUUUAAUACAUGUUCAAUGAGAAAAUCUGGAAGACACAAAAAAUGUGUGAAGAAAGAAAUGAUAAUAAUUGGUAAAUAUCAUGAAUCAGAUAUAAGUCAUUUUCCAUUGUUAUUCUUAGCUUAUUAGAUUGGUUACUUUUGUUACAACAUGCUAGGAUAUUUAUUUUGUAAAAUUAAGAUUAUGUUUUAUACCCGACUUCAUAGGCUGCUUUUCACUUAAAGCAUCUUGUAUAUCAUACACUCUCAGGUAAUUUUCAGAGUCUCUGAGUGAGUGGUAUUUUCACCUUUGUUUCCCUUAAGAAAUGGAUAUUCUGAAAAUGUGAAGAGUUUCCUGAGGGUUAAGGAGAGACUACAAUUGCAAUCUUGGUGUUCCAACUGUGAGUCUAGAACUCCAGCCAUUAUAUCACAGAUGACAGUACUACUACAGAAACCCAUAUAUAUUGAUGAUUCUCUACCUUUUUAAUAUGUAAAUCCCGUCAUGUCAUUCCUUUGCCCCUAAUACAACAAUGGCUACCUAUUUCAUUCAAAGUGAAAGCUAAAAUGCCUAUAAUUUGGCCCCCAGUGAUUUUCUAAUUCAUCUCUCACAUCUCCCCAGCUCCUAAUUUACUAUGCUACAGGUUCCUUGCUAUUCCCCAACGUACCAGGCAUGCUGCCAGUGUGGGGUUUUAUACUUGCUGUUUCCUUUUUCCAGAAUGCUUUUCCUCCAUAUAUCCACAUGCCUCUCUCCUUUACUUUCUUUAUGUCUGUUCAGACAUCACACUGUCAGUGAAGCCCUCCCUGACCAUCCCAUAUAGUGAAUCUUUGCCUGAAACCACCUGAUACUCCUCACCUCUAUUUCCCUACUUUGAUUUCUCUUUUGUUUGUAUGACCACAUGAUAUGCUACAUACUUACUUAUUUCUUUCUAAUUUCUCUUCCCACCCUACCCCCAAUGGCAGGAACUUGUUUUACUUUAUUUAUUAUGUUACAGACAUUCGAUAUAUUUUUUUUGUUGGAGGAAUGGGUAUACACUAGAUGACCUGCUCAGUGAUUUAUAUACAUUCUAUCCCUCUCCCCUCUCUCUGAGUCUAUGAGACAUGUUAUUUCCAAAUUCAAACACACAUUGAUAUAUGUUGUGACAACAAAUUUUAUUAUCAAAGGUGAUGUCAAGUUUAAUAUUUAAGGACUGAAAAUUAAAGAUCAUCUUUGACUCUGGGUCCAAAAAAAAUCCCUUUGACUCUGCCUGCUUGUUUUACCAUAAAACAUCCACAAUGAUGGUUAUUCUAGCACUGUACAUACAUAUGCUAUGUUACCAAAUAAAUUAAAAAGAAACUCAACAUCCUA
Long non-coding RNA from Canis lupus familiaris (dog), 1690 nucleotides. RefSeq lists it as uncharacterized. The transcript has 3 exons. Lineage: Eukaryota; Metazoa; Chordata; Mammalia; Carnivora; Canidae. The record is from RefSeq and is a predicted model, not a curated record.